RNAcentral lists this antisense RNA (75 nucleotides) under Streptomyces sp. ScaeMP-e83. RNAcentral describes it as "ASpks TB sRNA". It matches the Rfam family "ASpks TB sRNA". Lineage: Bacteria; Bacillati; Actinomycetota; Actinomycetes; Kitasatosporales; Streptomycetaceae. The record is from RNAcentral.
CUUGAGGGAACCCAGGUACAGCGGCCGGUCGGCGGGCCGGUCCUGGCCGUACGUGGCGAGCAGGGCCUGCGCCUC